This 451-nucleotide ribosomal RNA is filed under the name uncultured bacterium. RNAcentral describes it as "partial 16S ribosomal RNA". It matches the Rfam family "Bacterial small subunit ribosomal RNA", at positions 29 to 523 of the family's 1533-position model. The record is from RNAcentral.
AACGAACGCUGGCGGCAGGCUUAACACAUGCAAGUCGAACGGACGUAGCAAUACGUUAGUGGCAGACGGGUGAGUAACGCGUGGGAAUAUGCCCUUUAGUUCGGAAUAACACAGAGAAAUUUGUGCUAAUACCGGAUAAUCCCGAGAGGGGAAAGAUUUAUCGCUGAAGGAGUAGCCCGCGUCUGAUUAGCUAGUUGGUGAGGUAAUGGCUCACCAAGGCGACGAUCAGUAGCUGGUCUGAGAGGAUGAUCAGCCACACUGGGACUGAGACACGGCCCAGACUCCUACGGGAGGCAGCAGUGGGGAAUAUUGGACAAUGGGGGCAACCCUGAUCCAGCCAUGCCGCGUGAGUGAUGAAGGCCUUAGGGUUGUAAAACUCUUUUGUCCGGGAAGAUAAUGACUGUACCGGAAGAAUAAGCCCCGGCUAACUUCGUGCCAGCAGCCGCCGUAA